AUUGAACGCUGGCGGCAUGCUUUACACAUGCAAGUCGAACGGUAGCAGGCCGCAAGGUGCUGACGAGUGGCGAACGGGUGAGUAAUGCAUCGGAACGUGCCCAGUCGUGGGGGAUAACUACUCGAAAGAGUAGCUAAUACCGCAUACGAUCUAUGGAUGAAAGCGGGGGACCGUAAGGCCUCGCGCGAUUGGAGCGGCCGAUGUCAGAUUAGGUAGUUGGUGGGGUAAAGGCUCACCAAGCCAACGAUCUGUAGCUGGUCUGAGAGGACGACCAGCCACACUGGGACUGAGACACGGCCCAGACUCCUACGGGAGGCAGCAGUGGGGAAUUGUGGACAAGGGGCGGAAGACUGAUCCAGCAAUGCCGCGUGCAGGAAGAAGGCCUUCGGGUUGUAAACUGCUUUUGUACGGAACGAAACGGCUCUGGUUAAUACCCGGAGCUAAUGACGGUACCGGAAGAAUAAGCACCGGCUAACUACGUG
This 482-nucleotide ribosomal RNA is filed under the name uncultured bacterium. RNAcentral's name for it is "partial 16S ribosomal RNA". It matches the Rfam family "Bacterial small subunit ribosomal RNA", at positions 29 to 507 of the family's 1533-position model. The record is from RNAcentral.